This 272-nucleotide ribosomal RNA is filed under the name uncultured Pseudomonas sp. RNAcentral describes it as "partial 16S ribosomal RNA". It matches the Rfam family "Bacterial small subunit ribosomal RNA", at positions 1110 to 1382 of the family's 1533-position model. The record is from RNAcentral. Lineage: Bacteria; Pseudomonadati; Pseudomonadota; Gammaproteobacteria; Pseudomonadales; Pseudomonadaceae.
UUUACGUACGGCACGUUAUGGUGGGCACUCUAAGGAGACUGCCAGUGACAAACCGGAGGAAGGUGGGGAUGACGUCAAGUCAUCAUGGCCCUUACGGCCUGGGCUACACACGUGCUACAAUGGUCGGUACAAAGGGUUGCCAAGCCGCGAGGUGGAGCUAAUCCCAUAAAACCGAUCGUAGUCCGGAUCGCAGUCUGCAACUCGACUGCGUGAAGUCGGAAUCGCUAGUAAUCGUGAAUCAGAAUGUCACGGUGAAUACGUUCCCGGGCCUU